This 342-nucleotide long non-coding RNA is filed under the name Sinocyclocheilus anshuiensis. Its description in RNAcentral is "lncRNA (ENSSANG00000022321.1)". Lineage: Eukaryota; Metazoa; Chordata; Actinopteri; Cypriniformes; Cyprinidae. The record is from RNAcentral.
CUGCACUGCAAGCCUCAACAAACAAUGUGACUGUGCAGGCUACAAAUUGGUUUCCUGAACACUCUCCCUGACUGCCAUUGGUUGGAAAACAUAUAGUCCUGACCCAGUGUUCCUGUAUCAGGCUGAUCAGGAUGCAGAACAAUGUUUUGAUAGCACCUCAAGGCCAAGGAGGAGUACAACGGAGUAACUACUGUAGCGGAGGGCAAAUGAAGUUCAGCUGUGGUGAAGGGGUGAGACAACAGCGAGAGAGAUCGAGAGACGUGUCUAAUGAUGGAAUGCACACAGAGAGAUGAAAACCAAUGGAGACAAAGGAUGUACAGAGUGACCGAGAGAGGGAGAGAG